RNAcentral lists this ribosomal RNA (138 nucleotides) under uncultured eukaryote. RNAcentral's name for it is "partial 18S ribosomal RNA". It matches the Rfam family "Eukaryotic small subunit ribosomal RNA", at positions 1299 to 1458 of the family's 1831-position model. The record is from RNAcentral.
UGGUGGAGUGAUUUGUCUGGUUAAUUCCGAUAACGAACGAGACCUUAACCUGCUAAAUAGCCAGGCCGGCUUUUGCUGGUCGCCGGCUUCUUAGAGGGACUGUCAGCGUCUAACUGACGGAAGUUUGAGGCAAUAACA